Molecule: ribosomal RNA, 468 nt
Filed under: uncultured bacterium
Lineage: Bacteria
Description: partial 16S ribosomal RNA
Rfam family: Bacterial small subunit ribosomal RNA
Source: RNAcentral
GACGAACGCUGGCGGCGUGCUUAACACAUGCAAGUCGAACGGAAAGGCCCUGCUUUUGCGGGGUGCUCGAGUGGCGAACGGGUGAGUAACACGUGAGUAACCUGCCCUUGACUUUGGGAUAACUCCAGGAAACUGGGGCUAAUACCGGAUAGGAGCUCCUGCUGCAUGGUGGGGGUUGGAAAGUUUCGGCGGUUGGGGAUGGACUCGCGGCUUAUCAGCUUGUUGGUGGGGUAGUGGCUUACCAAGGCUUUGACGGGUAGCCGGCCUGAGAGGGUGACCGGCCACAUCGGGACUGAGAUACGGCCCAGACUCCUACGGGAGGCAGCAGUGGGGAAUAUUGCACAAUGGGCGGAAGCCUGAUGCAGCAACGCCGCGUGCGGGAUGACGGCCUUCGGGUUGUAAACCGCUUUCGCCUGUGACGAAGCGUGAGUGACGGUAAUGGGUAAAGAAGCACCGGCUAACUACGUG